This 114-nucleotide ribosomal RNA is filed under the name uncultured archaeon. RNAcentral's name for it is "partial 16S ribosomal RNA". The record is from RNAcentral.
UCUCAGAACCCAAUCCGCGCUAUAGCUCUCGCAAGUAGUGAGAUGCGGGCUUGUAGAUCCGUUACAUCAACUACACCUAACUAUCACAGUCAAACCUCACUGACGACUGAACUC